GCGGGUGUGGUGAAAUUGGUAGACACGCAGGAUUUAGGAUCCUGUGCUUCGGCGUGUGGGUUCGAGUCCCUCCACCCGCA
This 80-nucleotide transfer RNA is filed under the name Microbacteriaceae bacterium. RNAcentral's name for it is "tRNA-Leu". It matches the Rfam family "tRNA". From Rfam's summary of the family: Transfer RNA (tRNA) molecules are approximately 80 nucleotides in length. Lineage: Bacteria; Bacillati; Actinomycetota; Actinomycetes; Micrococcales; Microbacteriaceae. The record is from RNAcentral. RNAcentral also lists the same sequence under 1 other name.